This 253-nucleotide ribosomal RNA is filed under the name uncultured bacterium. RNAcentral's name for it is "partial 16S ribosomal RNA". It matches the Rfam family "Bacterial small subunit ribosomal RNA", at positions 524 to 776 of the family's 1533-position model. The record is from RNAcentral.
CACGUAGGGCGCAAGCGUUGUCCGGAAUUAUUGGGCGUAAAGAGCUCGUAGGUGGUUUGUUACGUCUGCUGUGAAAUCCCGAGGCUCAACCUCGGGUCUGCAGUCGAUACGAGCAAACUAGAGUGUUGCAGGGGAGACUGGAAUUCCUGGUGUAGCGGUGAAAUGCGCAGAUAUCAGGAGGAACACCGGUGGCGAAGGCGGGUCUCUGGGCAACAACUGACGCUGAGGAGCGAAAGCGUGGGGAGCGAACAGG